Molecule: non-coding RNA, 204 nt
Organism: Oryza glumipatula
Lineage: Eukaryota; Viridiplantae; Streptophyta; Magnoliopsida; Poales; Poaceae
Source: Rfam
AAUAGAUGACGCCGUUGACUUUUUCUCACAUGUUUGACCAUUCGUCUUAUUUAAAAAAUUUACGUAAUUAUAAUUUAUUUUCUUAUGAGUUGUUUUAUUACUCAUAGUACUUUAUGUGUGAUAUAUAUCUUAUAUAUUUGCAAAAAAAAUUUGAAUAAGACGAAUGGUCAAACAUGUGAGAAAAAGUCAACGGCGUCAUCUGUU